UUGCUGUGAUGACAAUCUUAGGACACCUUUGGAUUAAUCAUGAAAAAAAGUAUGUUCUGAGCAGU
RNAcentral lists this small nucleolar RNA (65 nucleotides) under Notamacropus eugenii (tammar wallaby). RNAcentral describes it as "Small nucleolar RNA SNORD58 (ENSMEUG00000016904.1)". It matches the Rfam family "Small nucleolar RNA SNORD58". From Rfam's summary of the family: snoRNA U58 is found in introns 1, 3 and 6 of the ribosomal protein RPL17 gene in humans. U58 is a member of the C/D class of snoRNA which contain C (UGAUGA) and D (CUGA) box motifs. Lineage: Eukaryota; Metazoa; Chordata; Mammalia; Diprotodontia; Macropodidae. The record is from RNAcentral.